Molecule: ribosomal RNA, 254 nt
Filed under: uncultured bacterium
Lineage: Bacteria
Description: partial 16S ribosomal RNA
Rfam family: Bacterial small subunit ribosomal RNA
Source: RNAcentral
UACGGAGGAUGCAAGCGUUAUCCGGAAUGAUUGGGCGUAAAGCGUCCGCAGGUGGCUGUGUAAGUCUGCUGUCAAAGAGCAAAGCUCAACUUUGUAAAGGCAGUGGAAACUACACGGCUAGAGUGCGUUCGGGGCAGAGGGAAUUCCUGAGUGUAGCGGUGAAAUGCGUAGAGAUCAGGAAGAACACCGGUGGCGAAGGCGCUCUGCUAGGCCGCAACUGACACUGAGGGACGAAAGCUAGGGGAGCGAAUGGG